This 497-nucleotide ribosomal RNA is filed under the name uncultured bacterium. Its description in RNAcentral is "partial 16S ribosomal RNA". It matches the Rfam family "Bacterial small subunit ribosomal RNA", at positions 28 to 507 of the family's 1533-position model. The record is from RNAcentral.
GAUGAACGCUGGCGGCGUGCCUAAUACAUGCAAGUCGAGCGAACGGACGAGAAGCUUGCUUCUCUGAUGUUAGCGGCGGACGGGUGAGUAACACGUGGAUAACCUACCUAUAAGACUGGGAUAACUUCGGGAAACCGGAGCUAAUACCGGAUGAUAUUUUGAACCGCAUGGUUCAAAAGUGAAAGACGGUCUUGCUGUCACUUAUAGAUGGAUCCGCGCUGCAUUAGCUAGUUGGUAAGGUAACGGCUUACCAAGGCAACGAUGCAUAGCCGACCUGAGAGGGUGAUCGGCCACACUGGAACUGAGACACGGUCCAGACCCCUACGGGAGGCAGCAGUAGGGAAUCUUCCGCAAUGGGCGAAAGCCUGACGGAGCAACGCCGCGUGAGUGAUGAAGGUCUUCGGAUCGUAAAACUCUGUUAUUAGGGAAGAACAUAUGUGUAAGUAACUGUGCACAUCUUGACGGUACCUAAUCAGAAAGCCACGGCUAACUACGUG